GGAGCGGUGCCUGAGUGGCCGAAAGGGCUUCACUGCUAAUGAAGUGAACGGGAAACAACUCGUUCCGUGGGUUCGACUCCCACUCGCUCCG
This 91-nucleotide transfer RNA is filed under the name Trueperella pyogenes. RNAcentral's name for it is "tRNA-Ser". It matches the Rfam family "tRNA". Rfam says of the family: Transfer RNA (tRNA) molecules are approximately 80 nucleotides in length. Their secondary structure includes four short double-helical elements and three loops (D, anti-codon, and T loops). Further hydrogen bonds mediate the characteristic L-shaped molecular structure. tRNAs have two regions of fundamental functional importance: the anti-codon, which is responsible for specific mRNA codon recognition, and the 3' end, to which the tRNAs corresponding amino acid is attached (by aminoacyl-tRNA synthetases). tRNAs cope with the degeneracy of the genetic code in two manners: having more than one tRNA (with a specific anti-codon) for a particular amino acid; and 'wobble' base-pairing, i.e. permitting non-standard base-pairing at the 3rd anti-codon position. RNAcentral also lists the same sequence under 1 other name. The record is from RNAcentral. Lineage: Bacteria; Bacillati; Actinomycetota; Actinomycetes; Actinomycetales; Actinomycetaceae.